Molecule: ribosomal RNA, 387 nt
Filed under: uncultured bacterium
Lineage: Bacteria
Description: bacterial SSU rRNA
Rfam family: Bacterial small subunit ribosomal RNA
Source: RNAcentral
GACGAACGCUGGCGGCGUGCUUAACACAUGCAAGUCGAGCGGUAAGGCCCUUUCGGGGGUACACGAGCGGCGAACGGGUGAGUAACACGUGGGUGACCUGCCCUCAGCUCUGGGAUAAGCCUGGGAAACCGGGUCUAAUACUGGAUAUGACUCCAUGACGCAUGUUGUGGGGUGGAAAGCCUUGUGCGGCUGAGGAUGGGCCCGCGGCCUAUCAGCCUGUUGGUGGGGUGANGGCCUACCAAGGCGACGACGGGUAGCCGGCCUGAGAGGGCGACCGGCCACACUGGGACUGAGACACGGCCCAGACUCCUACGGGAGGCAGCAGUGGGGAAUAUUGGACAAUGGGCGAAAGCCUGACCCAGCAAUGCCGCGUGUGUGAAGAAGGCC